This 549-nucleotide long non-coding RNA is filed under the name Melopsittacus undulatus (budgerigar). RNAcentral describes it as "lncRNA (ENSMUNG00000001857.2)". Lineage: Eukaryota; Metazoa; Chordata; Aves; Psittaciformes; Psittaculidae. The record is from RNAcentral.
AUUGAGCUAAGAACAGCCCAGUAACUAAGGUAUAACACAAACCACUACUGCUACCACCAAUAAUAAUAACGAUAAGGGAAAUAACAAGGGAAGAGAAUAUAUCUGCUCACUGCCCACCAACUGAUACCCAGCCUGACCUGAGCAGUGACCUAACCCUUCUGGGUAAUUGCCCCCAGUUUAUAUACUGGGCAUGAUGUGCUGUGGUAUGGAAUACCUCUUUGGUUAGCCUGGGUCAGGUGUCCUGUCUCUGCUUACUCCUGGCUUCCCCUCCUUCCUGACAGAGCAUGAGACUCGGAAAUGUCCUUGGUCAGACCAAACCUUCUUGAGCAACAACUAAAAACAUCGGUGUUAUCAGCGCUGUUCCCAGACUGAAAGUCAAACCCACAGCACUGCACCAGCUACUAAGAAGGAGAAAAAUGACUGCUACUGCUGAACCCAGGACACAAGGCAACCCAGAUGGAUAGCUUGCCACUCGAGAUGUCUGGAAAGAUGCAGCAAGGAAGACUUUCUCCCCCAGACAUAGUUCUUUUCCUCUGCUCCAUCCACUGA